RNAcentral lists this ribosomal RNA (117 nucleotides) under Petromyzon marinus (sea lamprey). The record is from RNAcentral. Lineage: Eukaryota; Metazoa; Chordata; Hyperoartia; Petromyzontiformes; Petromyzontidae.
GCCUACGACCAAAUGACUCAUCAUGCACUGAUCUCAUCAGAUCUUCGUAGGUAAGCAGGGUUGAGCCUGGAUAGUGCUUUGAUGGGAGACCACCAUGAAUAACAGGUGUCAUAGACU